CCUACGGGGUGCAGCAGUGAGGAAUAUUGGUCAAUGGGCGCGAGCCUGAACCAGCCAAGUAGCGUGAAGGAUGAAUGCCCUACGGGUUGUAAACUUCUUUUAUAAAGGAAUAAGGUGAGGCACGUGUGCCUUUUUGUAUGUACUUUAUGAAUAAGGAUCGGCUAACUCCGUGCCAGCAGCCCCGGUAAUACGGAUGAUCCGAGCGUUAUCCGGAUUUAUUGGGUUUAAAGGGAGCGUAGAUGGGUUGUUAAGUCAGUUGUGAAAGUUUGCGGCUCAACGGUAAAAUUGCAAUUGAUACUGGCAGCCUUGAGUACGUUUGAGGUAGGCGGAAUUCGUGGUGUAGCGGUGAAAUGCUUAGAUAUCACGAAGAACUCCGAUUGCGAAGGCAGCCUACUAACCUGCCACUGACAUUGAUGCUCGAAAGUGUGGGUAUCAAACAGGAUUAGAUACCCCUGUAGUC
This 460-nucleotide ribosomal RNA is filed under the name uncultured bacterium. RNAcentral describes it as "partial 16S ribosomal RNA". It matches the Rfam family "Bacterial small subunit ribosomal RNA", at positions 338 to 795 of the family's 1533-position model. The record is from RNAcentral.